Molecule: small nuclear RNA, 107 nt
Organism: Cavia porcellus (domestic guinea pig)
Lineage: Eukaryota; Metazoa; Chordata; Mammalia; Rodentia; Caviidae
Source: Ensembl
GUGCUUGCUUUGGCAGCGCGUAUUCUAAAACUGGAACGAUACAGAGAAGAUUAGCAUGGCCCCUGCACAAGGAUGACAUGCAAAUUCGUGAAGUGUUCCAUAUUAAA